RNAcentral lists this ribosomal RNA (467 nucleotides) under uncultured bacterium. RNAcentral's name for it is "bacterial SSU rRNA". It matches the Rfam family "Bacterial small subunit ribosomal RNA", at positions 335 to 794 of the family's 1533-position model. The record is from RNAcentral.
ACUCCUACGGGAGGCAGCAGUGGGGAAUAUUGCACAAUGGGCGCAAGCCUGAUGCAGCCAUGCCGCGUGUAUGAAGAAGGCCUUCGGGUUGUAAAGUACUUUCAGCAGUGAGGAAGGCGGGUGCGUUAAUAGCGUAUUCGUUUGACGUUAGCUGCAGAAGAAGCACCGGCUAACUCCGUGCCAGCAGCCGCGGUAAUACGGAGGGUGCGAGCGUUAAUCGGAAUUACUGGGCGUAAAGCGCAUGCAGGUGGUUUGUUAAGUCAGAUGUGAAAGCCCGGGGCUCAACCUCGGAAUUGCAUUUGAAACUGGCAGACUAGAGUACUGUAGAGGGGGGUAGAAUUUCAGGUGUAGCGGUGAAAUGCGUAGAGAUCUGAAGGAAUACCGGUGGCGAAGGCGGCCCCCUGGACAGAUACUGACACUCAGAUGCGAAAGCGUGGGGAGCAAACAGGAUUAGAUACCCUGGUAGG